UGUUAUACUUGAUUGAAAAUUUAUUUAAGCUUGAGUAGUAAUCAGUUAUGUUCUUGAAACUUAAAGGAUUUGGCGGUAUUUUAGUCUAGUUAGAGGAACCUGUUCUAUAAACGAUAAGCCACGAAUUAUCUUACUUCUUUUAGUUAAAUCAGCUUGUAUACCGUCAUUAUUAGAUAAUCUUUAUAAAGAAUUGUUAAGAUAAAUAUUUGUUAAUAUAUUAGAUCAAGGUGCAGCUAAUAGGGAAGAAAGUAAUGGGUUACAAUAUUAUUUGAUAUAUAUGGAUAAUAUAAGUGGAAUGUUUUUUGAAGGUGGAUUUAAUGGUAAUUAUAUUUUAAUAAGAUAUAGUGAUAUUAGCUCUAAGAUAU
RNAcentral lists this ribosomal RNA (365 nucleotides) under Ephyrina bifida. RNAcentral describes it as "partial 12S ribosomal RNA". Lineage: Eukaryota; Metazoa; Arthropoda; Malacostraca; Decapoda; Oplophoridae. The record is from RNAcentral.